GGGCCUCACACACACCUGGGUCCUCUCCUCUCCCCGACACAGCCUCACACACACCUGGGUCCUCUCCUGAACCAACACAGCCUCACACACACCUGGGUCUUCUCCUCUCCCCGAGGGCCUCACACACAUCUGGGGCCUCUCCCCGAGGGGCCUCACCUGAUCCCAUCACCCCUCAGACUCAGGGCUGCAGUUGGGACAUCUGUCCUGUAGGGGGCGCCUCGCUACACGUCCUGCGCUCCUUCCUCUUCCUCUUACGGGGACUGGAUAGCUCCUUCCUCUUCCUCUUACGGGGACUGGAUAGCUCCUUCCUCUUCCUCUUACGGGGACUGGAUAGCUCCUUCCUCUUCCGGGGACUGGAUAGCUCCUUCCUCUUCCUCUUACGGGGACUGGAUAGCUCCUUCCUCUUCCUCCUACGGGGACUGGAUAGCUCCUUCCUCUUCCUCUUACGGGGACUGGAUAGCUCCUUCCUCUUCCUCUUACAGGGACUGGAUAGCUCCUUCCUCUUACGGGGACUGGAUAGCUCCUUCCUCUUCCUCUUACGGGGACUGGAUAGCUCCUUCCUCUUCCUCUUACGGGGACUGGAUAGCUCCUUCCUCUUCCUCCUACGGGGACUGGAUAGCUCCUUCCUCUUCCUCUUACGGGGACUGGAUAGCUCCUUCCUCUUACGGGGACCGGAUAGCUCCUUCCUCUUCCUCUUACGGGGACUGGAUAGCUCCUUCCUCUUACGGGGACUGGAUAGCUCCUUCCUCUUCCUCUUACGGGGACUGGAUAGCUCCUUCCUCUUCCUCCUACGGGGACUGGAUAGCUCCUUCCUCUUCCUCCUACGGGGACUGGAUGGUCUCCAUUUUAAUGUUCAACUUUUUUUUCAAGGCAGCUUUGGUGUACAAAGAACUAUAGAACUCUGGGUAGUGACCAUUCUAACGUUACACUUCCUGCUUGUGGCUUUUUCGACUCUAGGAACUAUGAGUAGCUCCUAGGAACACGCAAUACUUUUGUAGGUGGCUUUCGUGUACAGGACAACACACACACACACACACACAGGAUAAAACCAAGUGUGUGAGCGCAGGUGUGGAGACGGGGCUGUCUGUUUGAAUGGCCCUUUGAUGAACUGUCGGGGUCCAGGGGACUGUUAGAGCGGGGGGGGGGGGGGUCAUAUAGAGCUGGUUGUCUAGUGCAUCUCUUCUUCCUCACCACUGUGGAGCGAGGGGGGGUUGGGGGGGCAAUAGAGCUGUGGAGCGGGGGGGGGGGGGAGAACCAGUGAGGUUUGCACGUCAUGAAAUGAGAUUUUUUUUUUUUUUUUUUUUUUCCUUCCCUGUAUCUUCAUUGUUUAUUUUCUCCCCCCUUUUAAGAGAAUGCAGAAAGAUGUUUAUUUUUUGCUUUUGUUUAAUUUAAUUUUUUUUUACGUUUUAUUUAUGUUUUUUGUUUUAUUGCUUUCAAUGUUUUAUAUUUUAUUUUUGUGCAGCAGAGCACAAAUUUUUUUUAGACUUUAAAAGUUUUAUUUUCCACUAAUGUUCUUUUUAUUUUAAAGAAUUUGUUUUGUUUUCGUUGUUUUAUAGCGGACCUUAUUCUUUAGCAGCGGGGGAAGGGGGGGCCCUCGGCUCGGCUUGGCACGGAACCUUGACAGAAGGGAUCGCCACCCAGACAGACAUAUUUCAGUUUCUGCUUUCUGUUUAAUUCCACCUCAAGUCUGAGAGACGCAUCCUGUGUUUUUCUUUUUCCCUCAACUGUGGUGCAAGUUCCAUGUAAACUUGUGUAUGAAACUUAGCAUUUCUAUUUUACUUCUGUAAUUGGGGAAUUAAAGGUUUUCUACCAAGCAGGAAAUACAUACAUCUUGACUGGUUUUUAUUGUGUGUGUGUGUGUGUGUGUUGAGGAUAUAAUUUCAGGUUGUAUGCCACCACAAUUACAGAUGUAUUUAUUUAUGUUUCAUUGUGAGAAUUAUU
Clupea harengus (Atlantic herring) is the source of this 1941-nucleotide long non-coding RNA. NCBI's taxonomy places the organism in Eukaryota, Metazoa, Chordata, Actinopteri, Clupeiformes, Clupeidae. The record is from Ensembl.